GAAACGGUGGCUAAUACUCCAUGUGCUCUGUGGUUCGUUCCACUGAGUAAAGCUCCGGCGCUUCGGGAGGGGCCUGCGGCCCAUCAGGUAGUUGGUAGGGUAAUGGCCUACCAAGCCUAUGACGGGUAGGGGGCGUGAGAGCGUGAUCCCCCACACUGGCACUGAGACACGGGCCAGACUCCUACGGGAGGCAGCAGUGAGGAAUAUUGCCCAAUGGACGAAAGUCUGAGGCAGCAACGCCGCGUGGGCGAUGAAGGCCUUCGGGUUGUAAAGCCCUUUUCUGGGGGAAGAGGAAGGACGGUACCCCAGGAAUAAGUCACGGCUAACUACGUGCCAGCAGCCGCGGUAAUACGUAGGUGGCGAGCGUUAUCCGGAUUUACUGGGCGUAAAGCGCGUGCAGGCGGUUUCGUAAGUCGGACGUGAAAGCUCCUGGCUUAACUGGGAGAGGCCGUUCGAUACUGCGGGACUUGAGGUCGGGAGAGGGACGUGGAAUUCCCGGUGUAGUGGUGGAAUGCGUAGAUAUCGGGAGGAACACCAGUGGCGAAGGCGGCGUCCUGG
Molecule: ribosomal RNA, 558 nt
Filed under: uncultured bacterium
Lineage: Bacteria
Description: bacterial SSU rRNA
Rfam family: Bacterial small subunit ribosomal RNA
Source: RNAcentral